This 497-nucleotide ribosomal RNA is filed under the name uncultured bacterium. RNAcentral's name for it is "partial 16S ribosomal RNA". It matches the Rfam family "Bacterial small subunit ribosomal RNA", at positions 28 to 507 of the family's 1533-position model. The record is from RNAcentral.
GAUGAACGCUGGCGGCGUGCUUAAUACAUGCAAGUCGAGCGAACAGACGAGGAGCUUUCUCUUCUUACGUUAGCGGCGGACGGGUGAGUAACACGUGGAUAACCUAUGUAUAUGAGUGGGAUAACUUCGGGAAACCGGAGCUAAUACCGGAUAAUCUAUUGAACCGCAUGGUUGAAGAGAGAAAGACGGUGUUGCUGUCACGUAUAGAUGGAUUCGAGCCGGAUUAGCUAGUUGGUAAGGUAACGGCGUAGCAAGGGAACGAUGCGUAGCCGACCUGAGAGGGUGAUCGGCCGCACUGGAGCUGAACCAGGCUCAAGACUCCUGCGGGAGGCACCAGUAGGAAAUCUUCGGCAAUGGGGGAAAACCUGACGGAGCAGCGCCGCGUGAGUGAUAAAGGUCUUGGGAUCGUAAAACCCUGUUAUUGGGGAAGAACAAAUGUGUACGUAGAUGUACAGGUAUUGACGGUACCUAAUCAGAAAGCCACGGCUAACUACGUG